UUCGUGGUGUGACUGCGUACCUUUUGUAUAAUGGGUCAGCGACUUAUAUUCAGUAGCGAGGUUAACCGUAUAGGGGAGCCGUAGAGAAAUCGAGUCUUAAUAGGGCGUUUAGUUGCUGGGUAUAGACCCGAAACCAGGCGAUCUAUCCAUGAGCAGGUUGAAGGUUGGGUAACACUAACUGGAGGACCGAACCCACUGUCGUUGAAAAGCCAGGGGAUGACUUGUGGAUAGGGGUGAAAGGCUAAUCAAGCCUGGUGAUAGCUGGUUCUCCCCGAAAGCUAUUUAGGUAGCGCCUCGGACGAAUACCAUAGGGGGUAGAGCACUGUUUCGGCUAGGGGGUCAUCCCGACUUACCAAACCGAUGCAAACUCCGAAUACCUAUGAGUACUAUCCGGGAGACAGACUGCGGGUGCUAACGUCCGUAGUCAAGAGGAAAACAAUCCAGACCGCCAGCUAAGGCCCCAAAAUCAUAGUUAAGUGGGAAACGAUGUGGGAAGGCAUAGACAGCUAGGAGGUUGGCUUAGAAGCAGCCACCCUUUAAAGAAAGCGUAAUAGCUCACUAGUCGAGUCGGCCUGCGCGGAAGAUGUAACGGGGCUAAAACUAUGUGCCGAAGCUGCGGAUGUAUACUUUGUAUACGUGGUAGGGGAGCGUUCUGUAAGCCGAUGAAGGUGUGUUGAGAAGCAUGCUGGAGGUAUCAGAAGUGCGAAUGCUGACGUGAGUAACGACAAAACGGGUGAAAAACCCGUUCGCCGAAAGACCAAGGGUUCCAGUCCAACGUUAAUCGGGGCUGGGUGAGUCGACCCCUAAGGCGAGGCCGAAAGGCGUAGUCGAUGGGAAAAUGGUUAAUAUUCCAUUACUUCUGUGUAAUGCGAUGAGAGGACGGAGAAGGCUAAAUCAGCCUGGCGUUGGUUGUCCAGGUGAAAGGAUGUAGGCAUGUAUCUUAGGCAAAUCCGGGGUACUCUAUGCUGAGAUCUGAUAGCAAGCUGUACUUGUACAGCGAAGUGGUUGAUGCCAUGCUUCCAGGAAAAGUCUCUAAGCUUCAGUUACACAGGAAUCGUACCCGAAACCGACACAGGUGGUCAGGUCGAGUAGACCAAGGCGCUUGAGAGAACUCUGCUGAAGGAACUAGGCAAAAUGGUACCGUAACUUCGGGAGAAGGUACGCUGUUGUUGGUGAUGGAACUCGCUUCCUGAGCUGACGACAGCCGCAGAAACCAGGCCGCUGCAACUGUUUAUUAAAAACAUAGCACUCUGCAAACACGAAAGUGGACGUAUAGGGUGUGAUGCCUGCCCGGUGCUGGAAGGUUAAUUGAUGGGGUUAGCGUAAGCGAAGCUCUUGAUCGAAGCCCCAGUAAACGGCGGCCGUAACUAUAACGGUCCUAAGGUAGCGAAAUUCCUUGUCGGGUAAGUUCCGACCUGCACGAAUGGCAUAAUGAUGGCGGCGCUGUCUCCAGCAGAGGCUCAGUGAAAUCGAAAUCGCUGUGAAGAUGCAGUGUACCCGCGGCUAGACGGAAAGACCCCGUGAACCUUUACUGCAGCUUGACACUGAACUUUGACCUUACUUGUGUAGGAUAGGUGGGAGGCUUUGAAGCUGGAACGCUAGUUCCAGUGGAGCCGUCCUUGAAAUACCACCCUGGUAAUGUUGAGGUUCUAACUCUGUCCCGUGAUCCGGGACGAGGACCGUGUCUGGUGGGUAGUUUGACUGGGGCGGUCUCCUCCUAAAGAGUAACGGAGGAGUACGAAGGUGCGCUCAGCGUGGUCGGAAAUCACGCGUAGAGUAUAAAGGCAAAAGCGCGCUUAACUGCGAGACCCACAAGUCGAGCAGGUACGAAAGUAGGUCUUAGUGAUCCGGUGGUUCUGUAUGGAAGGGCCAUCGCUCAACGGAUAAAAGGUACUCUGGGGAUAACAGGCUGAUACCGCCCAAGAGUUCAUAUCGACGGCGGUGUUUGGCACCUCGAUGUCGGCUCAUCUCAUCCUGGGGCUGAAGCAGGUCCCAAGGGUAUGGCUGUUCGCCAUUUAAAGAGGUACGCGAGCUGGGUUUAGAACGUCGUGAGACAGUUCGGUCCCUAUCUACCGUGGGCGCUGGAAAUUUGAGAGGAUCUGCUCCUAGUACGAGAGGACCAGAGUGGACGAACCUCUGGUGUACCGGUUGUGACGCCAGUCGCAUCGCCGGGUAGCUAUGUUCGGAAGGGAUAACCGCUGAAAGCAUCUAAGCGGGAAGCCUACCUCAAGAUAAGAUUUCCCUAGGACUUUAUGUCCUCUAAAGAGCCGUUCGAGACUAGGACGUUGAUAGGUUGGAUGUGGAAGCAUAGUGAUAUGUGAAGCUGACCAAUACUAAUUGCUCGUGAGGCUUGACUAUACAACACCCAAGCAGUUG
This 2376-nucleotide ribosomal RNA is filed under the name Acinetobacter baumannii. RNAcentral describes it as "partial 23S ribosomal RNA". It matches the Rfam family "Bacterial large subunit ribosomal RNA", at positions 585 to 2925 of the family's 2925-position model. The record is from RNAcentral. Lineage: Bacteria; Pseudomonadati; Pseudomonadota; Gammaproteobacteria; Moraxellales; Moraxellaceae.